RNAcentral lists this transfer RNA (62 nucleotides) under Gryllotalpa henana. Its description in RNAcentral is "tRNA-Cys". Lineage: Eukaryota; Metazoa; Arthropoda; Insecta; Orthoptera; Gryllotalpidae. The record is from RNAcentral.
GGCUUUAUAGUCAAAUAAUGAUUUUAGACUGCAAUUCUAAAGGUGUAGGAAUACUAAGGCUU